AGAACGAACGCUGGCGGCAUGCCUAAUACAUGCAAGUCGAACGAACUCUUCGGAGUUAGUGGCGCACGGGUGCGUAACGCGUGGGAAUCUGCCCCUUGGUUCGGAAUAACAGUUGGAAACGACUGCUAAUACCGGAUGAUGACGAAAGUCCAAAGAUUUAUCGCCAAGGGAUGAGCCCGCGUAGGAUUAGCUAGUUGGUGAGGUAAGCUCACCAAGGCAACGAUCCUUAGCUGGUCUGAGAGGAUGAUCAGCCACACUGGGACUGAGACACGGCCCAGACUCCGUACGGGAGCAGCAGUAGGGAAUAUU
RNAcentral lists this ribosomal RNA (309 nucleotides) under uncultured soil bacterium. RNAcentral's name for it is "bacterial SSU rRNA". It matches the Rfam family "Bacterial small subunit ribosomal RNA", at positions 26 to 365 of the family's 1533-position model. The record is from RNAcentral.